RNAcentral lists this non-coding RNA (31 nucleotides) under Homo sapiens (human). Lineage: Eukaryota; Metazoa; Chordata; Mammalia; Primates; Hominidae. The record is from RNAcentral.
UGACCGAGAGAGCCUGCGGAACCUGCGCGGC